UUCUUCACGGUCGUUCUACGUUUGAGAUCCGGUCAUUGCCUUACGCCAUCUUACCUUCAUAGAAUAGGACUUAAAGAGUCAAACUUAUGUGAUUGUGGUGAGUUGACCUAACCUGGGAUUGGAACUCCAAGACUCCUGAUGCCCCAGGACCCAGGAAUUAGGAAUAAGAAGCAAUACUACAACACAGAGAUUGGGUGCAUAGUCUUUCAGGCUGAGCCCAUAUUCAGGCCUUUUCAGUCAAGGGCAUCACUGGCUGCUGAGUAGUCUGCUUGAGAAUCAAGAAGAAGAAGAAAAAUAACCU
This is a long non-coding RNA of Coccinella septempunctata (seven-spotted ladybird), 301 nucleotides long. RefSeq lists it as uncharacterized. The transcript is spliced from 2 exons. Lineage: Eukaryota; Metazoa; Arthropoda; Insecta; Coleoptera; Coccinellidae. The record is from RefSeq and is a predicted model, not a curated record.